Molecule: RNA transcript, 4337 nt
Organism: Thunnus maccoyii (southern bluefin tuna)
Lineage: Eukaryota; Metazoa; Chordata; Actinopteri; Scombriformes; Scombridae
Gene: pex14
Gene name: peroxisomal biogenesis factor 14
Exons: 12
Source: RefSeq, a predicted model, not a curated record
CGUAUAUGUUGUUUAUUCUUCAGAAAAAGCAAUCGAGCGUGAUUCACUCGAACAGCCUCCAAAGCAAACGAGGGAUAGGAAGAUGGCAUCCACCGACCAGCCUGAUCCACCAACACAGCCUGGACUUCCACCUGGGCAUGAUGCAGCAGCUCCCCCCAGAGAAUCACUGAUUACCACUGCUGUAAAAUUUCUACAGAACCCAAAAGUACGUCAGAGUCCUUUGGCCACCAGAAAAGCCUUCUUGAAGAAAAAAGGGCUGACGGAUGAGGAGGUAGAGUUGGCCAUCCAGCGCUCUGGCAGCACAGAAGAAGUCCUGCCUCUGAGCCCUUUAGGGCCCCCACAUCAACUCCAUGCAACUCAACUGGCUACUGUACCACACAGUCCAGCAGGCUACAGAUGGAGAGACUAUGGUGCCCUCACCAUCAUUAUGGUGGGCAUCGCCUUUGGUUUUCAUCAGCUUUACAAGAAAUACAUCCUUCCCCUCAUUAUGGGCAGCCGAGAGGACAAGAAGCAUCUGCAGAGGAUGGAAAGCAACAUUGCGGCAAUGAGUGGCACGCUGACACAGACAGUCAGCCAACUGCAGCAGACCCUGGUUUCCCUCCAGGAGCUCCUGAUCCAGCAGCAGCAGAGAAUCCAGGAGCUCUCACAGGAACUGGCUGCAGCAGAGGCAUCGUCUGCAACCAACCGUAUCCUGGACAACCAAACAGUUGGAGAGCUGAAAGCUGAGAUCGUCUCUUUGAAGGGCUUAUUGCUCAGCAGGAAACAAUUCCCUUCCACUCCCUCCAUUCCUAAGAUCCCCUCAUGGCAGAUUCCCCUGAAACCUCCUUCGGCAUCCGGCUCGCAAUCCGUCAACCACACCAAUAGCAGCAGCGACAUCUCUCCUGUCAGUAACGAGUCUGCCAGCUCCUCCCCCGUCAAAGACGGACACCACAGCCCCCAGGAUGCACUGGGGGGGCCUGAUGGAGCCCUCGGUAUCAACGGUGAUACCGGCACCGUGGGCCUCGGGGCAACACUACCCCUGGACCUGAAAGACCAGGUCCGUAUGGAGGUGCAGGGGGAGGAGGAGAAGAAAGAGGAAGAGGAGGAUGAUGUCAGCCAUGUAGAGGAGGAGGAGGAGGAGGAGGAGGAGGAGGAGGAGGAUGGUCUAAGCAUACAGACAGAGGAUCGGCGAGGUGGGGACGGACAGAUUAACGAACAGGUGGACAAACUGAGGCGGCCCGAGGGUGCCAGCAAUGAGAGCGAGCUAACAAGAAGAGUCCAUGAGUGAGAAGAAGGGAUAUCAGCUCUCGUGCCAUUUCCACCUCCAUCACAUGGCCUUCAUAGGAACACAGAAAAGUGCAGAAAACUCAGGCAGGGCGAGACACACAAAGAGGAGGAAGAGGAAAGAAGAGUACUAUAAUAAUUGCAGAGACAAAAGGGCACCUCGUCUGAAACUGAAUGACUGUUAACAGUCUUAAGAUCACUAUGUACAUCACGCUUUGAUCUCCUAUCGCAGAAGCCAAGACAGCCACAAACCCGAGUCGCACAUACUGAAGAAGAACAGCAGCAUAUCUAAACAGAGCCACGUAAGGCAAAGCUGCAUGUUCCUAUGGCCCUGCAUCCAAUACGGUCUUGUUAAUGGUAAAUUGGAUGAGUGUGUGUCCAAUUCUCCAUUUCCUCAGAGGUGUCUCAGCAGCAACAGCUGCUACCAAUGGCAAAGCAGCUUUUUUCACACAGCCCCCUUUUCUGCCGUGUGACCGAGGUCUUUCCAAAAUAAGCCCAUACACAUGCAAAAAUAGAUAAAUGAACAUCUAUUGCAAAGGGCACAGGAUUUAAAGAGAGGUCUAACCGGGGCAGUGUGCUGAAAGAGACGAGGAAAACAUCUCAUCCAAAAACGUUAACUUCAAAUGAAGCAGUAAAAUGAGUGGCGCAGCCAUGUCAUAAACACAUGAUACAUGAUAUACUGUAUACCUGUGGGGCCUAUCAACAACAAGCUGCUGGACUGUGUCUGAUGACAAAGAUAAGAUAGGAGAGAAGGCAGGUCAUGCACUUUAUGCAAAAGGCUUCUCUACUUGUUCUUUCAGUCAUUUGCUGUGGUGUUCGGGCUUAGUUAUGAAAACGUCUCUUGCCACAUUUGGGGCAGAAAUAAACUCAUUGAAUUAGUUAAACAGCAACUGGCAGAGCCGAUAAACCUCAGUUUCACUUAUUAUAUCAACCUGUUGCAAAGUUCUCAUGAUCAACUUUGCAGUUGUUGUCACAUAUUUUGAGUUUUUCAUAAUUUUGCCUUUAAUUUUGCAAGUAUGGAGUCCCUUCAAUACUGGAUUUUUGAGGCCAAUACUGAAAUCAAAAUUUGAGGUUUUAAAAUGUAUUCAAGCUAUUUGUUUUUUCAUAAACACAUCUUUUGUUAGGAUCCCUUAAAUUUGUUUUUAUUUUUCUAAAUAUGUGACCAAGUACAGCUUGUGUAUGUUUAGCUGUUUCACCCUGAUUCCAAUCUUUAUGCUAAGCUAGGCAAAUCAUGUCCCACCUCCAGCGCUGCACUUAAAACACAGACAUGAAAUUGAUAUUGAUCUUUCCCAUAAAGUUGAACUGUUCCAGUGAUGCUACAGAAAAAUACACCCUUGCCAUGCUAAAAUGUCGGUUAGCUCUAUAGCUUAGAUUUGCAAAAAUACUGGCGCCUCUAGUCUAGUUUUGCCCUAGUUUAUGUGACUGUGUGGGUUUUCUCAUAGAGGGUUUCUUUCAUCUGUUUAAAAAAGUUGUUCCUGUGGUUGUCUGUUCAUAUUUUAUACUUAUUGUGUGUCUCCUUCUGUACUAAAUUGAGCACCAUGUUGAAUUUACAAAGACAAAAACAAUUUUUUGUUAGCCUUCAACAACUCCAGCUCCCAUGAGGCUUCAACAACAGGCAAAUGGCUAAGACACAUGGGAUAUAUUGUUGUUAUUGAGUAGUAACAAUGUUUUUGUUUGUUUUAUCGUGGUUAAAAUUAUGAGUUGCUCAAAUUUUACAAUCCCACACUGUUUUAGAUAAGAUUUUAGUGUAGAAUAUGCUCAGUUGAGUUACAAACACUAGCUAGCAGGUUUAAACUAGCCACACCAGCCUAUAGCAGUAUUAGCUAUAGCAAGCUAGGUGAGUGGCAUUUACCGUGGCUGCACCAAAGUCAAUUAUUUUUCUUAAAAUUCCUCUUAAUUAUUCACAUUUGUAAGUUAGUUUUGAACCGCUCUAGCUCCACCCUUUGAGGGAUACAGUAAUGAAGUGAGAUUAUAUCUGCUUUAGCAGCAAUUUAUGUGCAAGACUAGUGAACAGUGUGUUUGUUGCAAUAGUGCAUACCAAGAGGCAGUUUUAGUGGUGCCAUGCCAUUCAUCCAGCGGCCCAUUGGCCCGAAAGCCCACUACUCCGAAAGACCGUUGCUCCGAAAAUUCACACUCUCCCUGGAGUUUUUUGCCCUUUAUAUCUUAGUGUAGUUUGACAUGCAAACGUUUAUACGUUUAUAAAAUGCUUAGUUUUUAGUGUGCCCAUAACCUAAUUAAUUAACUAAUUAACUAACCCUAGCCCAUCAAAAUACACUGAGAUAUGAAGGGCAAACGACAACAGAGGUAGCCUAAUCGGAGCGCCUAACCAUAAAUAACGGCAGUGUCAGCACCAUGGACAGGGCUGGCAGUCACUGAACUUAAACAACUAAAGGGCUUUCAGUCCAAUGGGACAUUUUUCAAACCAGUGGGAUUUUGGAAUAACAGGCCUUUGGACCAAUGGGCAGUCCCCAUUUUAGCAGAAGGGAGGAUGAGGAUUAAACUGGACUGUGUCGAAGACAACACCUCCUUCUGAAGUAUCUCAGGCCCAGACACAGAGCGCUGCACUGUCUGUGCUCUUUCAUGUUGGCAGCCAUCAAACUAAAGUACAUACAGUCCAAAAAACCACAGCCAGUCAAUGCCAGUGUGCCCCGACUGACGGAUCAGUUAUUUUUGUUCACUUUUCUGUAUCCUCAAGUAUGAUCAGAAUAAAGUGAUAAUGACAACAGAAAUAAUUACACAUAUUAUCACCUUUUUUCUACUGGCUUCAUGUUGCUCUUCAUUUAUAGCUAUAGCUGUAGUUAUCUUUAUGGUGUAUAAUUUAUUUUUACAGUGCACAUCUUCAUGUCUCAGCAUUAUCUUUAAACCCACUAUUGUGGAUACAUACAUAUAUCUGAUAUGUCUGUCAUUUGACAUUUAUUAUACAGAUUUUUUAAGGUGUGUACUUAUUUUAAAAUCUCUGUCACUUAUGUUUGUGACAAGUAGUUUUUUUGCUGCUGAUAAUUGCUGAUAGUCUUAUUGCUGUCAUCUGUACAUUUUAUGCUUUUCUUUAAACUAAAAAUGUUCCAACAUUUAAA